UGCUGGGUGGAUCAGUGGCGAACGGGUGAGUAACACGUGAGCAACCUGCCCUCCACUUCGGGAUAAGCCUUGGAAACGGGGUCUAAUACCGGAUAUGAGCACAUGGCGCAUGUCGUGUGUUGGAAAGUUUUUCGGUGGGGGAUGGGCUCGCGGCCUAUCAGCUUGUUGGUGGGGUGAUGGCCUACCAAGGCGUCGACGGGUAGCCGGCCUGAGAGGGCGACCGGCCACACUGGGACUGAGACACGGCCCAGACUCCUACGGGAGGCAGCAGUGGGGAAUAUUGCACAAUGGGCGAAAGCCUGAUGCAGCGACGCCGCGUGAGGGAUGACGGCCUUCGGGUUGUAAACCUCUUUCAGCAGGGAAGAAGGCCUUCGGGUGGACGGUACCUGCAGAAGAAGCGCCGGCUAACUACGUGCCAGCAGCCGCGGUAAUACGUAGGGCGCAAGCGUUGUCCGGAAUUAUUGGGCGUAAAGAGCUCGUAGGCGGUUCUGUCGCGUCUGGUGUGAAAACCUCAGGCUCAACCUGGGGCGUGCAUCGGGUACGGGCAGACUAGAGUGCGGUAGGGGAGACUGGAAUUCCUGGUGUAGCGGUGGAAUGCGCAGAUAUCAGGAGGAACACCGAUGGCGAAGGCAGGUCUCUGGGCCGCAACUGACGCUGAGGAGCGAAAGCAUGGGGAGCGAACAGGAUUAGAUACCCUGGUAGUCCAUGCCGUAAACGUUGGGCACUAGGUGUGGGGCUCAUUCCACGAGUUCCGUGCCGCAGCUAACGCAUUAAGUGCCCCGCCUGGGGAGUACGGCCGCAAGGCUAAAACUCAAAGGAAUUGACGGGGGGCCCGCACAAGCGGCGGAGCAUGCGGAUUAAUUCCGAUGCAACGCGAAGAACCUUACCAAAGGCUUUGACAUGCACCGGACGCUGCCAGAAGAUGGUGGUUCCGCAAGGUCGGUGCACAGGGUGGGUGCAUGGUUGUCCGUCAGCUCCGUGUCCGUGGAGAUGUUGGGUUAAAG
RNAcentral lists this ribosomal RNA (1004 nucleotides) under Isoptericola chiayiensis. RNAcentral describes it as "bacterial SSU rRNA". It matches the Rfam family "Bacterial small subunit ribosomal RNA", at positions 81 to 1085 of the family's 1533-position model. Lineage: Bacteria; Bacillati; Actinomycetota; Actinomycetes; Micrococcales; Promicromonosporaceae. The record is from RNAcentral.